ACAUUCAGUUCAUCGACUCGGAUCCGCAGAAACGAAAAUGGAACUCACCAUGAAGAACACUUCCGGCUGGUGACUCGCGCUGGUCCGCUUUAAAUCGACUCGGAGAGAUGCUUAGUGCAAGGAAAUUCUGAAGCUGGAACCAGACAAAGGAAGGACCACAAGGGUCAUGCUCACUCUUACAAGGAGAGCGAUCUAAAGUUUGCAAGUUUUUAUGGAGGACAGCAUUUUGAGAUGGUGGGGAACAAGUAACUGUUAAAGGAAUGGAGUGCCAGUACUACACUAAAGAGAAGGGAAAGAUGGUGGUGGUGGAAUCCCUUAAGAGGCUCCGUGGACUCUGUGAAACGUUGUGUUGAUUCCGAGGCUACAAGAACAGAAUGUGGAGGAGAGCUGCUCUCCUCUUUUGCGUGGUGAGGUGGACAGAAGUUGCAAGAAAACAUAAAAUGUGUGGUGCUUGGAGCGUGGGAAAAAGAGCUGUAACGCUCACGAGGCCUUCAAGGUUGAAGUGACGGAGAAUCUAAGUGACAAGCUGAAGUUUUCUUAAUUACGUGAUGCCUUAUCUUUGCAAGGUGGAAGAUCUCGCGUUCUUAUCUCGUGUAGCAUUUCUACAUGGUCAACAUUCCUGAAAGAAUCAUUUUAAGUAAAUUCUUAAUCAUCGGAGGUACGGGGUGGUGUUGCUCAAAACCGCUGAUUGGAGUCGCUUUAUAAGUCCAGUCCGCUUAAAACCAUAAAGGACGGAGGUAUGCUUCGUCGUGAACUUAGUUUUUUUAUCAGACAUCCGCUCGUACUCUUUCUCACUAGCCGAGAGCACUAGGAAGCAGCUGAGACUGACUUUGGGAAGCCAGCGUUACGUUCCACCACUGGAUUGUGGGUUGCUGACUAAGUUUUUCUCGCUUGAUAUCUUACGAAUGCUUCACCAAAGCAAUGCCUCGGCCGCUGACUGGCUCCACACUCACUGCUUUGUCGAUGCUGGACGGAGACCAGGCACCGCCAUAGAUGAUCUCCUUCUGCGAUAUCUUUGGUCUUUGGACACCUACUUCCAACACUUUGAACUUGAGAUUUCCAAGUCGGCAUGGGGAGGCAGUCCGGCCUGAGCGCCGUGUAGCUUUUCCCAUUCUAGAUUCUCGGCUUGAGUGGUACGGAAGUUGGGCUUUCUACGUUGAAGCUCCAGGUCACGGGAUGCGCUUUUAUAGUUGUAUGUUUUAGCAGUGAAUCAAGCUGGCUGCUCUCCCA
Molecule: long non-coding RNA, 1230 nt
Organism: Selaginella moellendorffii
Lineage: Eukaryota; Viridiplantae; Streptophyta; Lycopodiopsida; Selaginellales; Selaginellaceae
Exons: 3
Source: RefSeq, a predicted model, not a curated record